CAGAUCCCAUAGUGCGUGGGUAAUUAAAAACAGAACUCAUAAUAACCAGUCUGUGCCCGUCCAUUCCUUGCUCCACAAAACCAAUUUGAGUACGGCAGACCCCUCCAGCCUGGCAUAGGGAUCAGAAAGUUCCAGGGUCACAUCGGAGAAUCCAGGGACAGCAAGGAAGACUAACAUGACAUCAAACACAAAACAUUGGAAUCAUGGCAAGUACUGG
Non-coding RNA from Pelobates cultripes (western spadefoot toad), 217 nucleotides. Lineage: Eukaryota; Metazoa; Chordata; Amphibia; Anura; Pelobatidae. The record is from the annotation of a GenBank genome assembly.